Molecule: ribosomal RNA, 1707 nt
Filed under: Salmonella enterica
Lineage: Bacteria; Pseudomonadati; Pseudomonadota; Gammaproteobacteria; Enterobacterales; Enterobacteriaceae
Also listed under: 5 other names
Description: partial 23S ribosomal RNA
Rfam family: Bacterial large subunit ribosomal RNA
Source: RNAcentral
CUGUAAGCCUGCGAAGGUGGCCUGUGAGGGUUGCUGGAGGUAUCAGAAGUGCGAAUGCUGACAUAAGUAACGAUAAAGCGGGUGAAAAGCCCGCUCGCCGGAAGACCAAGGGUUCCUGUCCAACGUUAAUCGGGGCAGGGUGAGUCGACCCCUAAGGCGAGGCCGAAAGGCGUAGUCGAUGGGAAACGGGUUAAUAUUCCCGUACUUGGUGUUACUGCGAAGGGGGGACGGAGAAGGCUAUGUUGGCCGGGCGACGGUUGUCCCGGUUUAAGCGUGUAGGUGUGUGUUCCAGGUAAAUCCGGUUCACUUUAACACUGAGGCGUGAUGACGAGGCACUACGGUGCUGAAGCAACAAAUGCCCUGCUUCCAGGAAAAGCCUCUAAGCAUCAGGUAACAUCAAAUCGUACCCCAAACCGACACAGGUGGUCAGGUAGAGAAUACCAAGGCGCUUGAGAGAACUCGGGUGAAGGAACUAGGCAAAAUGGUGCCGUAACUUCGGGAGAAGGCACGCUGACACGUAGGUGAAGUGAUUUACUCAUGGAGCUGAAGUCAGUCGAAGAUACCAGCUGGCUGCAACUGUUUAUUAAAAACACAGCACUGUGCAAACACGAAAGUGGACGUAUACGGUGUGACGCCUGCCCGGUGCCGGAAGGUUAAUUGAUGGGGUCAGCGCAAGCGAAGCUCCUGAUCGAAGCCCCGGUAAACGGCGGCCGUAACUAUAACGGUCCUAAGGUAGCGAAAUUCCUUGUCGGGUAAGUUCCGACCUGCACGAAUGGCGUAAUGAUGGCCAGGCUGUCUCCACCCGAGACUCAGUGAAAUUGAACUCGCUGUGAAGAUGCAGUGUACCCGCGGCAAGACGGAAAGACCCCGUGAACCUUUACUAUAGCUUGACACUGAACAUUGAGCCUUGAUGUGUAGGAUAGGUGGGAGGCUUUGAAGUGUGGACGCCAGUCUGCAUGGAGCCGGCCUUGAAAUACCACCCUUUAAUGUUUGAUGUUCUAACGUGGACCCGUGAUCCGGGUUGCGGACAGUGUCUGGUGGGUAGUUUGACUGGGGCGGUCUCCUCCUAAAGAGUAACGGAGGAGCACGAAGGUUGGCUAAUCCUGGUCGGACAUCAGGAGGUUAGUGCAAUGGCAUAAGCCAGCUUGACUGCGAGCGUGACGGCGCGAGCAGGUGCGAAAGCAGGUCAUAGUGAUCCGGUGGUUCUGAAUGGAAGGGCCAUCGCUCAACGGAUAAAAGGUACUCCGGGGAUAACAGGCUGAUACCGCCCAAGAGUUCAUAUCGACGGCGGUGUUUGGCACCUCGAUGUCGGCUCAUCACAUCCUGGGGCUGAAGUAGGUCCCAAGGGUAUGGCUGUUCGCCAUUUAAAGUGGUACGCGAGCUGGGUUUAGAACGUCGUGAGACAGUUCGGUCCCUAUCUGCCGUGGGCGCUGGAGAACUGAGGGGGGCUGCUCCUAGUACGAGAGGACCGGAGUGGACGCAUCACUGGUGUUCGGGUUGUCAUGCCAAUGGCACUGCCCGGUAGCUAAAUGCGGAAGAGAUAAGUGCUGAAAGCAUCUAAGCACGAAACUUGCCCCGAGAUGAGUUCUCCCUGAGACUUAGAGUCUCCUGAAGGAACGUUGAAGACGACGACGUUGAUAGGCCGGGUGUGUAAGCGCAGCGAUGCGUUGAGCUAACCGGUACUAAUGAACCGUGAGGCUUAACCUU